RNA transcript from Labrus mixtus (cuckoo wrasse), 2251 nucleotides. It is a transcript of the gene named immunoglobulin lambda-like polypeptide 5, with no coding region annotated. The record is from RefSeq and is a predicted model, not a curated record. NCBI's taxonomy places the organism in Eukaryota, Metazoa, Chordata, Actinopteri, Labriformes, Labridae. The transcript is spliced from 5 exons.
AACAUGUUGAUGUGAAACACACGAGGGAGCUGAAAUAUGAUCCUGGCUCAUAACUUGAUACAGGAACUUGUAUUCAGCAGCAGACGGGGUUUUUGUAUCAGUCUGUUUCACUGUGGGGUGUACAUCUUUGGCUCUGGGACUAAACUGUUUGUAACAGAUGAGCAGGUGGUGAAGCCCGUGGUGAGCGUGUACCCAGCAGCAUCGAGAGCUCAGCUGGAGGAGAAGAGCUCUCUACUGUGUGUGGCCUCAGCCAUGUUUCCUCCUCUGGUCCAGAUCUCCUGGAAAAAACAGAAAGGGAGUGGUCCUCUGCAGGAUGUGAACCCUGCUGAUGUGAAGCGGCAGGAGCUGAGGGAGUCUGGGUGCAGCGCCUCCAUCUUGACGAUCCCUCAGAUAUCCUAUAAAUACCUCUGCUCAGUGCAGCAUCAGGGGGGCACAGUGAAUGCUCAAACAGAAAUAGAGGUCUCAGUUCCUACGACCUCCAGUCCUCCAGAGAGAGAGCCGACUGACAGGUUCCGUUUUAGGGCCGAUUUAGUUUGUAUUUCGAUGUCUCCAAGGGGAGCUGUUUGGAGGAGAAAUGUUAGGACCAAUCUGUCUGCAGGCUGGAACAUUUGGGUUGAGCCGCAUUGGUGAGCGCACACGGCUAGGGGCUUUUCCACCACAAUUUAACACAGAUUAUCUCCUGCUAACCUCCGAGAGAGAUUUCUGAAGAAGUCAGGUGAGACAACGUGUAAAUACAGCAAGAAAUAUUCAGGACAAUUCAUUACGAUUGAGCAGGCGGAUACGAUGGACAUGUUGAACUACAUGUAGUGUUGAUAAAAAAGCAACAACUGUCAUCAUAACAAUAACUUUAUUUAUAUCGCACUUAUCUAAACAAGGUUACAAAGUCCUUUACAGAAUGAAGACAAUGAAAAAUAAAACAUUUAAUUUAUAUAUAUAUUUAAUUUUUUAAUUUUUUAUAUUUUUAUAUAUAAGUGCUUCACAAAAUACACAGGAUUAAACUUUGGUGAGCAAAGAAAUUAUGAAUAAGACUUAAUUAAAUUAAUUAAAGCAGGACAUUAGUUUCUACUCAAUCCUUAAAAAAAGGCCUUCGUAUAAAAAUGUUUUUUAAAGCAAACAUUUAAAAACAGUUACAGGAGUUUGUCAGCUUAAUGUCUUCAGGUAGAGAGGUCCAGAGCUUAGGGGCUCUGAUGGCAAAUGCCUUGUCGCCCUUUGUUACAGACUUGACCUAGGAACAACGAAUAAAGGUGCUCUUGAUGAUCUGAGAUCUCUGUUUGGAGCAUAAGGAAUUAAAAGUUCUGUAAUGUAAGGGGGGAGGGGGGGCAGACCCUGUUGUGUUUUAAAAGUUACUAAAAGAAUCUUAAGAUCAAUCCUGUAUGUAACGGGCAGCCAACGGAGGGGGGAAAGGAUCGGGGUAAUGUAAGACCUGCGAUUUGGUUUAAAUCCGGGCAGCAGCUUUCUGCACUUGCUGGAGUCUAGCCAUCGAGGACUGACUGAGGCGUGAAGUGAAAAGAGCGUUGCAGUAGUCCAAAGGUGAAAAGAUAAAGGCGUGAAUAAGCUUUUAUAGGUCAGGGAAAGAAUGAGUUUAUUUAAUUUAACCAAUGUGUCAUUACAUCGGACUCUGUUGCUCUGUCGGCCAUUUUACGACACGUCCUGCCUCUGACACCCUCCCUCCGGUCCAACAGGGAUAGUCUCCCACUGUGAGGUUCAACUUUGAACAAACAACUCAGGGGCAGAUUGUCCUGAAAUUUUCUAGAUAUUUUCUGGAGUGUGUGUGGAAAAGGCUAAAGAAAGCUCGGUGUGGUUUGGUGUUGGAAAUUAACCUGAAAGCAAAGACAAAUUUAAUGAACCAAACAUUCGUUACUUAAUUUAUUCUUCUGUGUUUUUCUGUUAUUUACGCCGACCGUUUAUCAAAGCAGCUAAACAUUUUAGCAGCUGUCUGUUCUUAAUCUUUUCUCCUGCUCCUGCAGCCCAGGCACCUACAGCCAAACCAGCCUUACAGGACGCGGGAGAAGGAGUGUCCUUUCAGUCUCAGUGCAAGGUGAAGCUGCUGACGCUGCUGUACACGGUGCUGAUACUGAAGAGUCUGGUGUACUGCUGUGGACUCUCUCUGCUGAGGAUCUUCAGAAACAACAAACCGUCCAUCCACUGAACAUGUGCUGACUGAUUGUCUUCUGAUGUUAUGUGCCGUAGUGUUUUUGUAGUUUUUAUGAAAGAAGCUUGUUUGUGAAAAAGUAAAGCUCUAUGCUGAUGA